This 263-nucleotide long non-coding RNA is filed under the name Parus major (Great Tit). RNAcentral's name for it is "lncRNA (ENSPMJG00000010791.1)". The record is from RNAcentral. Lineage: Eukaryota; Metazoa; Chordata; Aves; Passeriformes; Paridae.
UGCUACAGCAUUUAUAUGAUGAGUGGCAUUAGAGAAAAUGAAAGGUGUGAAAUUGAAUGCUAGGAGAGCUGAGCUGGGCUGCAGCAUGACUGGGCACCCAUCACUGUGUUCCUUUGAAGAAAGAAUCUGGCAAGCAGCAUUUUGUGGGUUCAUGCCUUAAAUAUGCACAUGAAGAAGGGGACAGAAGGGGAAGGAGAAGCCACCUCAAGCCAUCAGGAAGGGGCCACAUAACAGCAACAAAAUGAGCCAGCUCUUCUGUGAAA